UAAGGAAUAUUGGUCAAUGGACGCAAGUCUGAACCAGCCAUGCCGCGUGAAGGAUGAAGGUCCUCUGGAUUGUAAACUUCUUUUAUCUGGGACGAAAACGGGAUUUUUAUCUCAAUUGACGGUACCAGAGGAAUAAGCACCGGCUAACUCCGUGCCAGCAGCCGCGGUAAUACGGAGGGUGCGAGCGUUAUCCGGAUUUACUGGGUUUAAAGGGUGCGUAGGUGGGCUUAUAAGUCAGUGGUGAAAUCUCCGAGCUUAACUUGGAAACUGCCGUUGAUACUAUAGGUCUUGAAUUAUCUGGAGGUAAGCGGAAUAUGUCAUGUAGCGGUGAAAUGCUUAGAUAUGACAUAGAACACCAAUUGCGAAGGCAGCUUACUACACAUAAAUUGACGCUGAGGCACGAAAGCGUGGGGAUCAAACA
Molecule: ribosomal RNA, 421 nt
Filed under: uncultured bacterium
Lineage: Bacteria
Description: bacterial SSU rRNA
Rfam family: Bacterial small subunit ribosomal RNA
Source: RNAcentral